GUGGGGAAUAUUGGACAAUGGGCGAAAGCCUGAUCCAGCCAUGCCGCGUGUGUGAAGAAGGUCUUCGGAUUGUAAAGCACUUUAAGUUGGGAGGAAGGGCAGUAAGUUAAUACCUUGCUGUUUUGACGUUACCGACAGAAUAAGCACCGGCUAACUUCGUGUCAGCAGCCGCGGUAAUACGAAGGGUGCAAGCGUUAAUCGGAAUUACUGGGCGUAAAGCGCGCGUAGGUGGUUUUGUAAGUUGGAGGUGAAAUCCCCGGGCUCAACCUGGGAACUGCCUCCAAAACUGCAUGACUAGAGUACAGUAGAGGGUAGUGGAAUUUCCUGUGUAGCGGUGAAAUGCGUAGAUAUAGGAAGGAACACCAGUGGCGAAGGCGACUACCUGGACUGAUACUGACACUGAGGUGCGAAAGCGUGGGGAGCAAACAGGAUUAGAUACCCUUGUAGUCC
This 450-nucleotide ribosomal RNA is filed under the name uncultured bacterium. RNAcentral's name for it is "partial 16S ribosomal RNA". It matches the Rfam family "Bacterial small subunit ribosomal RNA", at positions 354 to 796 of the family's 1533-position model. The record is from RNAcentral.